CCCGCUCCCCAUGCAAAUUCCCCCUCCGGGCGCCUUUAAAUACGCCAGACCCCAGCAUGUCCACAGCACCCAGCGUCCCCUUCCCCUCACCACCAUGAGUCCUCGGCCUCAUGCCUUCGCCCUCCUCCUCCUCCUGGCCGCCGUCCCAGGGCUGCGGGCGGCCACGUUGGACGAGACCGGAGGGGGCCUGGUGAAGCCCGGGGGGUCCCUGACCCUGGUCUGCAAGGGCUCCGGAUACACCUUCAGCAGCUACGGCAUGGGAUGGAUGCGACAGGCGCCCGGGAAGGCGCUCGAGUACGUCGCAGCUAUUAACAGCAGUGGUAGUAGCACAUACUACGCGUCGGCGGUGAAGGGACGCUUCACCAUCUCCAGGAACAACGGGCAGAGCACGGCCACCCUGCAGAUGAACAGCCUCAAGGCCGAAGACACCGCCACCUACUACUGCGCGAAAGCUGCUCACGGUGGCUCAGAGCCCAUGCACGGCUGUCACAAAACCCACCGCUGCGAUAUCUGCCCACCUGGAGCUCCGAGUGUGCCCAGAACCUUGAACCGUGCCCAAAUUUCAUGAACCGUGCCCAAAUUU
This is a non-coding RNA of Oxyura jamaicensis (ruddy duck), 583 nucleotides long. The record is from the annotation of a RefSeq genome assembly. NCBI's taxonomy places the organism in Eukaryota, Metazoa, Chordata, Aves, Anseriformes, Anatidae.